GGGCGCAGCCUGAUCCAGCCAUGCCGCGUGCAGGAUGAAGGCCUUCGGGUUGUAAACUGCUUUUGUACGGAACGAAAAAGCCUUCUCUAAUAAAGGGGGUGAAUGACGGUACCGUAAGAAUAAGCACCGGCUAACUACGUGCCAGCAGCCGCGGUAAUACGUAGGGUGCAAGCGUUAAUCGGAAUUACUGGGCGUAAAGCGUGCGCAGGCGGUUAUGUAAGACAGAGGUGAAAUCCCCGGGCUCAACCUGGGAACUGCCUUUGUGACUGCAUAGCUGGAGUUUGGCAGAGGGA
RNAcentral lists this ribosomal RNA (293 nucleotides) under uncultured bacterium. RNAcentral describes it as "partial 16S ribosomal RNA". It matches the Rfam family "Bacterial small subunit ribosomal RNA", at positions 373 to 659 of the family's 1533-position model. The record is from RNAcentral.